UCGGGAAUUUUGGGCAAUGGGCGAAAGCCUGACCCAGCAACGCCGCGUGAGGGAUGAAGUAUUUCGGUAUGUAAACCUCGAAAGAAUGGGAAGAAUAAAUGACGGUACCAUUUAUAAGCUCCGGCUAACUACGUGCCAGCAGCCGCGGUAAUACGUAGGGCGCAAGCGUUGUUCGGAUUUACUGGGCGUAAAGGGCGCGUAGGCGGCGCGGUAAGUCACUUGAAAUCUCUGAGCUUAACUCAGAACGGCCAAGUGGUACUGCAGUGCUAGAGGGCGGAAGAGGCAACCGGAAUUCUUGGGGUAGCGGUGAAAUGCGUAGAUAUCAAGAGGAACACCUGAGGCGAAGGCGGGUUGCCGGGCCGACACUGACGCUGAUGCGCGAAAGCCAGGGGAGCAAACG
This 400-nucleotide ribosomal RNA is filed under the name uncultured bacterium. Its description in RNAcentral is "bacterial SSU rRNA". It matches the Rfam family "Bacterial small subunit ribosomal RNA", at positions 355 to 774 of the family's 1533-position model. The record is from RNAcentral.